GCCUGGGUGGCUCAGAUGGUUGAGCGUCCGACUUCGGCUCAGGUCCUGAUCUCAUGCGUUCGUGGGUUCGAGCCCCGCGUCGGGCU
This 86-nucleotide transfer RNA is filed under the name Felis catus (domestic cat). It matches the Rfam family "tRNA". Rfam says of the family: Transfer RNA (tRNA) molecules are approximately 80 nucleotides in length. Lineage: Eukaryota; Metazoa; Chordata; Mammalia; Carnivora; Felidae. The record is from Rfam by way of RNAcentral.